Molecule: non-coding RNA, 65 nt
Organism: Macaca mulatta (Rhesus monkey)
Lineage: Eukaryota; Metazoa; Chordata; Mammalia; Primates; Cercopithecidae
Source: Ensembl
CACUGUAUAGCUAUCUUAGCAUUAACCUUUUAAGUUAAAGACGGGGGACACACCCCCUACAGUGA